Molecule: long non-coding RNA, 1341 nt
Organism: Equus quagga
Lineage: Eukaryota; Metazoa; Chordata; Mammalia; Perissodactyla; Equidae
Exons: 4
Source: RefSeq, a predicted model, not a curated record
CUAAACAGAGAAGUUACUGAAUUACUUUGGGGCCGAGUGAAGCACAGGUUUGGUGAGAAUGUCCUGCCUUCUGGAAGGUGACCCUUUAUCCUCUCUCCAUGUGCAACCAGAUUCCAAGAACCAGGUCUAAAAGGAGAAUGCGGCUUCUGCCUUCCACGUUUCAGGCGACCCUGGGCUUGGGAGAAGACCCAGAAAGAGCAGGGAGGCGCAGGAAGCGGGACUCCCCUCUGCUUCUCUGCCCAGCUGUUCUGUCCUGUUCCGGCUGAGACUGAAGUCCGUCGGCAGCCACAUGUUUCAGAUUGAGCUAACUCCUCGCUGCCCUUAAAGGUCAGGAGAGCCACCGUGCUGACACAGGCCUUUCUCCCCCUGGCAGUCUGCCCCACGGCGACUCUUGAGUCAUCACAUCUGGAUGACUAGGCUGACAAAAACGAGGUUUCGUGGGGUGGCAGCACCAACUCAAGACUGCUGCCCCGCCGUCCUGGCUGUUAGCUGGGACUCAGAAAUUCCCCCAGGGCGCUCAACCGUCAUCCAUAGCUCCAGCUUUGGAGGUAACGAAGAAUGUUGAAAACACUCUUGGAUAUCUGAGCUAAGGAAAGAAUGCAGUUUUAAAACCACAAAGUUGGAGAAGAAAUUUUAAUCCAUUGAUGUGUUGGAUGAGAAAGAAGAGGCCUUCCUACAGCGAGGGAUGUCAAGGAAUGUGGUGAACAGAAGCCCCAGAAGCUGGAAGGCAGGAGAGGAAUGAGACUACAUACACUUGUCACACAGUGAGUCCUCGAUGAACGGUGGCUACCAAGUGGAAUCUCCCUGGGCCUCUAAUUCCUCAUCUGUGAACUGGGGACAAUGGCUGCUCUCUGGCAAGGCUGCUGUGAAGAUGCACCGAGACUGUGUAUGGAGCAAGCACAGGACCUGGCUCAUGACUGUAGGCUCCCUGGGCGCAGGGCCUGGGUUUGUUUUAUUCCCCAGUGACGACUCAGCACCUUGUGAAGAGCCCGGUACACCCAUGGCAAGCACUCAGGAAACAUUUGUGGAGUGAAUAAAUGAAAGAAGUACCGCAGAUUUCUUUAACUUCUCUGAGCCUCGACUUCCUCAUCCAUCAAAUGGGCAUAUAAAUCCUUACCUGAGCAGGCUGUUGUGAAAACCAAGGGCCCACAGCAGAUGCUCCAACCAUUCUCCGACAGGGCACACCAGGAGGCCCCCUGCACAGGCCUCGCACCCCAUUCCCUAGGCAGACACCACAAGAGGCAGCUGGGUAAGUAAGAGUAACGUUUACUGAGCGAUACAGGACUGAGUACUAUGAAGGUUUACCAGGAUGGAAAUGCGCCCCACCCCCGCCCCGGCCAC